This is a non-coding RNA of Drosophila melanogaster (fruit fly), 72 nucleotides long. Its record names the gene mir-2a-2. The record is from Ensembl. Lineage: Eukaryota; Metazoa; Arthropoda; Insecta; Diptera; Drosophilidae.
AUCUAAGCCUCAUCAAGUGGUUGUGAUAUGGAUACCCAACGCAUAUCACAGCCAGCUUUGAUGAGCUAGGAU